UUGGAUCCCUUGCAGCUACAUGA
Molecule: non-coding RNA, 23 nt
Filed under: Rattus norvegicus (Norway rat)
Lineage: Eukaryota; Metazoa; Chordata; Mammalia; Rodentia; Muridae
Source: RNAcentral